Drosophila yakuba is the source of this 2112-nucleotide long non-coding RNA. RefSeq lists it as uncharacterized. The record is from RefSeq and is a predicted model, not a curated record. The transcript has 2 exons. NCBI's taxonomy places the organism in Eukaryota, Metazoa, Arthropoda, Insecta, Diptera, Drosophilidae.
GCGAUCGUCAACUGGUCAGCUGUGGAGUCCUUAGGCAGCCUACCACCAGCGGCCUUCUUGCGCUUUGGAGAUUAUUUUAAUAGCUUAAGGCUAUUAAACUGUAAAGCUAGCGUGGAAAGGAGAUCAUAGGAUCGACGAAAACUAUCUCGACCUACGCCAAAACUGCUGAUCAGUCCUUUCAAGCCACCUUUAGUGUGGCGCAUAAACGAUUUCUUCUCGUUUUCAGCCCCUAGGCAAGGUAUCACAGUAUUUUAGAUAUAGGCCCUUAACUAGGUUAUCACUUGUUCGGCCUCUAAAUCCAUUGCACUUAGUUUAGUCAGGCUUUAUAACCUAAAGGCAUUUGUUUUAGAAUCAGACAACAUAAUUUUCCAUCUUUUUAGGAUCUUGAAACUUGGAAGCGAGCUUAGAACAUUAAAAUUUGUGUGGGAGAGCGAGAGAGUGAGAGAGCUUAUCCACAGCGCGGUUUAUGUACAUACAAAAACAACACCAAACAGCACAGCGUACAAACGCUGGGUUGUUUACAAAAUAUAAUCAUAAAGAAUUUAUUAUAAUUUUGCUACCGCAACUUAAAUUUGAAGCGCAGGAAAAAACACGUUCGCUUGCUUUGAAGCUAGGAAUGCUAUGACGAAUGUUAAGAGAACAUUUGAAGUAGCACAAGUUGCAACAAAAAGUACAAAAAAAAGAACAAUUUAUGUGCAUUGCAAGAAAUGAUAAGCAUCUACCAUCACCGCUUGAGAAAGUUUAAACCGUAUACCGUAGACCUUUUCUAUGACUAAAGAUAAUAAACAUUAAUAGUUACUAAACACAGAAAAAUCCUUUUGUGAAGCGUUUUUAUAAAUGUUACGACAAUGCUGUUAAAUGCUCUAAACCUUUAGACGAUCAAUUCAUCUUUAUUAAAUAGUGAAAUCUUUAAGAAAAAUAUGAAUAAUUUUUCUGACAAAAAACUUCUUCUCGACAAUCAAUUUGUUUAUCUGUCUACUUAGUAGACGUACUCUGGGGAAAUACAUAAUGUGGAGUAGAAGGAAUUUUAUUAUCUGUAGGAGACGUGUAGCCUAAGACGAAGUACUGCAUGGUAGGUACACUUUCGUUAACCCGGGUCUUGAGAUAACUUUCUUUUAAGCGAAAAAAUACUCCGUUUUGCAACUUCAAUUGAGUUGCCUAACCCAUUGAAAUCAGAUUUAAGCUGUGGCCAUACUUCAAUGCGACCUGAUUGCAAAUUUUCAAAUUGUAAAAUUUUAUUGUAUAUGGCAGGGUCUCCACUGACAAAAACUUUUCUAUUGCACUGUCAAUUUAUUCUUACCGCUCUGAUACUAACCGCAGUGAAGGGACUUUUGAUGAGAUUAAAAAAGAGAGAGAUUGGACCGGUACCUAAUAAAAUCUGCUUCUAUUAAUAUCUCUAUUUCUUGCGAAUGGUGUUGCCUCGAUAGUUGCGCUGUUCAGCCUAUCCCGUUAAUUGUGGCAUGCUUUCAUUAACUUCGGCCUUGGCCUACUUUUGUGUACUUCAGGUCUUCCUUGGCCCUGGCGCAUGCUCAAAGCGCAGAAUUCUUGUUUGCUAGCUUUUUGUCUCAGUUGCCUUCCGCUUUCGCCUGUCGCUGAAGCGAUUGACUUGUUCCGUCCAUUUUUGGGCUCUGAUGAUCCUGCCGUUUUCUUCCUUCUGAUUUAGGUCGCUGAUGUGCACGGUACCGUUUCGAAUAAUUGCUGUUCAUUGGAUUCAGACUGCUGAAUUGAAGAACGGCAUCCGAUUUUGCCACACCAAUGUGUUGCCUGCUAACUCCUUUGUUCUUUGUACGGUGGUCAAAUUCCUCGCGGCUAUAAACGCAACGUCGAUGGAGCUGAAAGGUGACGCAGAAACACAUCAAAACAAUUACCAAAGGAAUACUGCUGCCUAAUUGUGGCUUCAUGCAAACUCCCUCCUUAAGGUGCACAAUGUGCUGGAGAUUUUUCAGGCUUAACAAUUUAUAAAUUACAUCUAAAGCUUCGCGGCUCAUUAAGUUUACUUUUGCUUUUAUUAUUAAGAACAUUACAUUUUCAGAUCAUUUUUUAUAAAUUUGACUAAUUUGACUAAUAUUGUUUUAUGUAGUCCUAACCCCAAAUAAAAUAAUAAACGAAAAA